This 543-nucleotide ribosomal RNA is filed under the name uncultured bacterium. RNAcentral describes it as "bacterial SSU rRNA". It matches the Rfam family "Bacterial small subunit ribosomal RNA", at positions 777 to 1318 of the family's 1533-position model. The record is from RNAcentral.
AAUAGAUACCCCGGUAGUCCACGCCGUAAACGAUGAGUGCUAAGUGUUAGGGGGUUUCCGCCCCUUAGUGCUGCAGCUAACGCAUUAAGCACUCCGCCUGGGGAGUACGGUCGCAAGACUGAAACUCAAAGGAAUUGACGGGGGCCCGCACAAGCGGUGGAGCAUGUGGUUUAAUUCGAAGCAACGCGAAGAACCUUACCAGGUCUUGACAUCCCGCUGACCGGUCUAGAGAUAGACUUUUCCCUUCGGGGACAGCGGUGACAGGUGGUGCAUGGUUGUCGUCAGCUCGUGUCGUGAGAUGUUGGGUUAAGUCCCGCAACGAGCGCAACCCUUGAUCUUAGUUGCCAGCAUUCAGUUGGGCACUCUAAGGUGACUGCCGGUGAUAAACCGGAGGAAGGUGGGGAUGACGUCAAAUCAUCAUGCCCCUUAUGACCUGGGCUACACACGUGCUACAAUGGACGGUACAGAGGGUCGCAACCCCGCGAGGGUGAGCUAAUCCCAUAAAACCGUUCUCAGUUCGGAUUGUAGGCUGCAACUCGCCUA